ACGACUCUCGGCAACGGAUAUCUCGGCUCUCGCAUCGAUGAAGAACGUAGCGAAAUGCGAUACCUGGUGUGAAUUGCAGAAUCCCGUGAACCAUCGAGUCUUUGAACGCAAGUUGCGCCCGAGGCCACUCGGUCGAGGGCACGCCUGCCUGGGCGUCACGC
RNAcentral lists this ribosomal RNA (161 nucleotides) under Hordeum roshevitzii. RNAcentral's name for it is "5.8S ribosomal RNA". It matches the Rfam family "5.8S ribosomal RNA". Rfam says of the family: 5.8S ribosomal RNA (5.8S rRNA) is a component of the large subunit of the eukaryotic ribosome. It is transcribed by RNA polymerase I as part of the 45S precursor that also contains 18S and 28S rRNA. The record is from RNAcentral. Lineage: Eukaryota; Viridiplantae; Streptophyta; Magnoliopsida; Poales; Poaceae.